Paramuricea clavata is the source of this 2314-nucleotide non-coding RNA. NCBI's taxonomy places the organism in Eukaryota, Metazoa, Cnidaria, Anthozoa, Malacalcyonacea, Plexauridae. The record is from the annotation of a GenBank genome assembly.
CUUCGAUUCAAUGUAAAAUUUUAUCGAAAACUUUCAAAACGUUUUAUUCUUUCAACGUUUUUAACAUUAUACGUAAUUAUAUAUUUAUAAUAUUAACAAGAUAUGCUGAUCGGAUAAUACUUACUACAUCCGUUCAACUUCCGUGUUCUCUGUCACAUCGUGAUUUUGGUUCGAAGUUAAAGACGCACUGUUUAUCUUUAAAGUACGGGAUACGUCAGUAGAAAACGUCUGCAUUUGGGUAGGUACGUAAACAUAUUUUAUUCCAUUCAUGCCCUAGUCAACUUCAUAUUUCAUAGCAGAGAGCAUUUUUAUAGUGUUUUCCUCGUCAUUAUAGAGCUUCCGCCAACGUUUGUGAACGUACAGUACGCCGCGUUUUAUCAACGGUAAAACGAUUCUAAAUUUCCUCUACAUACCCAAAAUAUUUUAUCAUGUAUACAUUUAAAGUUGAUUGUUACUAUAAUCUCGUGAGUUCCAGCCUGAAGACGGUCUCUCGCCCUACUAAAUAUAUUCCAAUACUGUAUCCGGUUAAAUACAAACGAACGUAUUAAAAUCGAGCUUCGAAGAUUUUAACAGGCGAUAUUAUCAGUAUAUUAAAAGCAGGUUUUCCGUUAUAAGUUUUCAUACGACGAGUUUUAUUUGCUCGUUUGUAUAGGCAACUUUGCCAAUGACAAAUACACUUGUUCAAUCAUUUACUGCGGAUUUCGAACUAGCGAGCGUUUAGUGCUUUAAUUUCCGAUAAUAAUUGUUUUUCCGUUGAAACACGUCACUAUAAAUAGCCGGUAAAUAUUUUGAGGCUUUUUAUACGCGACAAUUUCCAAAAUAUCAAUAAAAACAUGAAAUGAUCCACAAAGCUUCGUAAAUUAUAUAUCAAAAUGUUGCCAAUGACGAGAUAAACACGAAUAUAACAGUUACAUUUUACAAAUGAUAAACAAAGGACAAGAAAACAACGGGCAAAGACCACUACGGGCACUAGACUUCACUUAGCAACAUUGACAUUGACUCUUAGCAAACGGUGUAUGUUUCAACGGAAAAACAAUUAUCGGAAAUUAAAGCGCUGAAACGCUAUUUCGAAAUCCACAGUAACUAUAUAGUAUGCUAGCUUUAUAACAAGUGCACUUAUCAUAGAAAUAAAAAUGGCGAAGUACAAAUUCUAUUCGCCUGAAUGGGUGAACAAAGACAGUUUGUGAGUUUGGUAUAAAAAAUUGCUUCCUACGGUGGUGGCAACAGUGACAAAUAAAACUGGUCAUAUGAAAACUUGUAGGGAUGUGCUGAAUACUGUUUUGUCAAUUCUGUAAAGUUCAGAGCGGGUGUAAUUUAACAAAUGUGUACGUUGCAAAAUCAGUGAGUGAGAUGUCUUGAGUGAAACAGUCAAUAAAGUAAAUAGAACUUUGUAUAUGUAUUCUUUGUAUAUUUAUUCUUUGUGGGUUGCAUUUGCAACGUCGCAACGCAAAGUCUGCAUAAAAUACUGGAGUCUUUCAGUGUCAUAUUGGGCAAAACCGCAAGGUCCAAGGAAAUACUAAGAAAGGAUUUGUAAUAAGCUAAAGGAAUAAAGCUGCAUGCAAGCAGAACAUUUGCAUAGCAGCCAACAGCGCGAGUCUGUUGUAAAUUGCUGUAAAAUGUAAUCAUAACUAUAAUGCACCUAUCAAUGUCUUCCAUGCACCAACGGGGGGAGUGCGGGCAUACCCAGGGGCAAUUGACAUUUUCGAGAAUUGUUUGUCAAUAUUCCUCUCUCAAGGCCAAUGGCAGUAUAGAACUGUCAAUUAAUGUUGAAUGUCCCUGGGUCAUGAAGAGAUUGAAAGACCGACACUUAUAUAUUAUAAGCUUGACACAAAUUUUAUCGACAACAGUUGAUAUUUGUGGGAAAUAAAACCGUGGUUCUGCAAGGAAUCGGAGCAAAUAGAUCAAAUAUAUAAAUAUACUUGAUAUCAGGUUGGUUUACAUUUUUAAGUUCAACUGGAAAACGCAACUCCGCGAGAGUAAUUGAUCCACCAGCUUAAACUAUCCUGAUGUUGAAGUUAAAUCUGGACAGACAAAACACAAACAUUUUGAAUAUAAUUAUAGUAUUGAAUGCACGCUGGGCUAGUAUUAAAAGUGUGAGAUAUAAAGAAAAGAAUGCGACAAAAGAGUCUUCUUGCAAAACAAAAGAUAGAUAGCAUCUUUUUUGGCAUUACAAAUCAAUUUACAGAAGCGGAUGGUUUGUUUGAACAUGAAAUAAGGGGGAUUCUUACCUUGACCCUUUCAUCUACAGGUUCAGCCAUUUUGUAUUUUUACACGAGGUUUUAAAAAUUCAAAAAAUGUCAAAAAUCCGGUAAUC